Long non-coding RNA from Schistocerca piceifrons (Central American locust), 1311 nucleotides. RefSeq lists it as uncharacterized. Lineage: Eukaryota; Metazoa; Arthropoda; Insecta; Orthoptera; Acrididae. The transcript is spliced from 3 exons. The record is from RefSeq and is a predicted model, not a curated record.
UAACGAGCAUUACUUGACUUCGGCCUUGAAUACUACAAAAUGAUGUGCUGCUUGCCUCUAAUAUUUGACCCAAAUAAUAAUAACUGAUGGCACAAAUCUGUUAAAAUUCAAGGAAUGGAAAUGCCACGAAAGACAUUGUUUCCGUAGGAAACCACUUUAUUGUAUUAAGAAAUCAGUUCCAUAAUUCUGCGUAAGUGUUCAUCGAAUAUUGUCUCAGAGGAGGAAUUUGCGGUACUGGCAUGGCUUUGACCAAUGUCUUAAUUUUAAUGGAUGCGUAGUCACUUCAAGAAAUGUAGAAAUGAAGCAACCAUUGAAUAAGAAACAACUGGUUGUGUGAAGCAAGAUGAAGCAUAUGAGAUCGACUUGAAAGCAAGUCCCAUGGAGAUGGCCAAAUGAGAACAUGCUUCCGGUAUUACAUGCCUACAGCUUCAUUAUUUUAUUCACAAAUUUUUUACCUGACAGGGUUGAAGCUUUGGUGCUUCUUUCUACAUGCAUCCAGAUGGUCCCUAAGAAAUUCUCACCGAUUGUGGUGGCAGAGUGGGGUAAAUAAUAAGAUAGUUGAAAAGGACAUGACCAAUCUGUUCCUAUCUGUCCCCAACCUGAGCUGGUGUUGAGUCCCUAAUUGUGUGUCUCUUGUUGUUGAUGGGACAUUAAACCAUAACAGUUCUUUUCUUCAGUCACAAUAGCCACAAACACGUGAGUCUUAAAUUCUUCAACAAACUGCCAAAAAGAGCUCACUAGAUUCCCUUACUGAAAUGCUAGAAAAUAUUAGAAACUGUGCUAAAAGAGCAAGACUUUUAUAGAGUUGAUGAAUUCACGGAGAGUGAUUUCCAAGGAUUGGGCUUUGGAUAGCUGCCUGUGUCAGUAAAAUUGCAUGUAAUAAUCAUACAAUUAGAAUUUGGUGUUUAUACAGGGUGAAGCAAAAUUCGCGCACUAGGCUUCACAGCACGACUCCUCACACGCCAGCAAUAAAAAAAUCUCUCUUUCAAAAUUUAGUCUGUCUGGCAAGAACACCCGGCAGAAAAAGGACGUUAAAAGAUUGACAAUGUGGUAACACUGUAACCACAUAUAUGGUAUAUUCCUCUGUCAGCGUGUAUCAGUUGUGCUGUAUAUGUGGUGCAGUGGGUAGAGUUUUGGGUUAUCAUGCAGAACGACGAUGGUUCGGUACUGUGUUAGGGCAUAUGUUUUUUAUAUGGUAAAUGUAGUCCAGAUGGUACAGUAUCUGGCAUCUUAAUCGUCAACAGCGAUUGCAGCAGGUCCUCUAGAAAACAUUUGUACUUACAUACUACAAUUGUAGAAAUGGAAGAUUGG